RNAcentral lists this ribosomal RNA (773 nucleotides) under uncultured Neocallimastigales. RNAcentral's name for it is "partial large subunit ribosomal RNA". It matches the Rfam family "Eukaryotic large subunit ribosomal RNA", at positions 24 to 633 of the family's 3401-position model. The record is from RNAcentral. Lineage: Eukaryota; Fungi; Neocallimastigomycota; Neocallimastigomycetes; Neocallimastigales.
UAUGUGAUGUCUCUCGCAUAUCAAUAAGCGGAGGAAAAGAAACUAACAAGGAUUCCCCUAGUAACGGCGAGUGAAGCGGGAAGAGCUCAAAUUUGAAAUCUUAAAGGGUUUCCCUUUACGAAUUGUAGUUUAAAGAAGUGUUUUCUGUUGAGGUUUUGGUAAAAGUUCUUUGGAAUAGGACAUCAUAGAGGGUGAGAAUCCCGUAUUUGACCUUUACUUUCAACUUUGUGAUACACUUUCAAAGAGUCGGAUUGUUUGGGAAUGCAGUCCAAAAUGGGUGGUAAAUUUCAUCUAAAGCUAAAUAUUGGCGAGAGACCGAUAGCGAACAAGUACCGUGAGGGAAAGAUGAAAAGAACUUUGAAAAGAGAGUUAAACAGUACGUGAAAUUGUCAAAAGGGAAGCGUUUGACACCAGUGUUGUUUUUCUGAAAAUCAAUUAAAGAACUGUUUAUGCUAAGUUGUUUAGACUUUAUCAGCUAUCUGUUUAGUUUUGAGCUUUUCUUUAAUGCACUUUUCAGUUAACAAGUCAACAUCAAUUUCUUUUGCUGUAAAAAAGCUUGAGGAAGGUGGCUUGAGAUUCGUCUUAAGUGUUUAUAGCCUCUUGCUUAUGCAGUCGGAGAGAUUGAGGUCUGCAGCGUAGAUCCUUCGGGGCUAAAUGCAUUUGUGCUAAGUUAUAGCAUUUUAUAGACAACUUGUUGACUAUGAUUUGUCUUGUAGCUUACUCGCUUAUGUUAUUUUACCUACGCUUAGGAUGUUGAAGACUCUACAGAGAUA